Molecule: ribosomal RNA, 439 nt
Filed under: uncultured bacterium
Lineage: Bacteria
Description: partial 16S ribosomal RNA
Rfam family: Bacterial small subunit ribosomal RNA
Source: RNAcentral
CCUACGGGAGACAGCAGUAGGGAAUAUUGCUCAAUGGGGGAAACCCUGAAGCAGCAACGCCGCGUGGAGGAUGAAGGUUUUCGGAUUGUAAACUCCUUUUGAUAGAGAAGAUAAUGACGGUAUCUAAAGAAUAAGCACCGGCUAACUCCGUGCCAGCAGCCGCGGUAAUACGUAGGUGGCAAGCGUUAUCCGGAUUUACUGGGUGUAAUGGGCGUGUAGGCGGGAAAGCAAGUCAGAGGUGAAAACCAGGGGCUCAACCCCGUACUGCCGUUGAAACUGCAUCCCUUGAGUGCGCGAGAAGUAUGCGGAAUGCGUGGUGUAGCGGUGAAAUGCAUAGAUAUCACGCAGAACUCCGAUUGCGAAGGCAGCAUACCGGCGCGCAACUGACGCUCAUGCACGAAAGCGUGGGUAUCGAACAGGAUUAGAUACCCUGGUAGUC